RNAcentral lists this ribosomal RNA (926 nucleotides) under uncultured bacterium. Its description in RNAcentral is "bacterial SSU rRNA". It matches the Rfam family "Bacterial small subunit ribosomal RNA", at positions 8 to 916 of the family's 1533-position model. The record is from RNAcentral.
AGAGUUUGAUCCUGGCUCAGGACGAACGCUGGCGGCGUGCCUAAUACAUGCAAGUAGAACGCUGAAGAAAGGAGCUUGCUUCUUUUGGAUGAGUUGCGGACGGGUGAGUAACGCGUAGGUAACCUGCCUUGUAGCGGGGGAUAACUAUUGGAAACGAUAGCUAAUACCGCAUAACAGCUUUUGACACAUGUUAGAAGCUUGAAAGAUGCAAUUGCAUCACUACGAGAUGGACCUGCGUUGUAUUAGCUAGUAGGUAGGGUAACGGCCUACCUAGGCGACGAUACAUAGCCGACCUGAGAGGGUGAUCGGCCACACUGGGACUGAGACACGGCCCAGACUCCUACGGGAGGCAGCAGUAGGGAAUCUUCGGCAAUGGGGGCAACCCUGACCGAGCAACGCCGCGUGAGUGAAGAAGGUUUUCGGAUCGUAAAGCUCUGUUGUAAGAGAAGAACGUGUGUGAGAGUGGAAAGUUCACACAGUGACGGUAACUUACCAGAAAGGGACGGCUAACUACGUGCCAGCAGCCGCGGUAAUACGUAGGUCCCGAGCGUUGUCCGGAUUUAUUGGGCGUAAAGCGAGCGCAGGCGGUUUAAUAAGUCUGAAGUUAAAGGCAGUGGCUUAACCAUUGUUCGCUUUGGAAACUGUUAAACUUGAGUGCAGAAGGGGAGAGUGGAAUUCCAUGUGUAGCGGUGAAAUGCGUAGAUAUAUGGAGGAACACCGGUGGCGAAAGCGGCUCUCUGGUCUGUAACUGACGCUGAGGCUCGAAAGCGUGGGGAGCAAACAGGAUUAGAUACCCUGGUAGUCCACGCCGUAAACGAUGAGUGCUAGGUGUUAGGCCCUUUCCGGGGCUUAGUGCCGCAGCUAACGCAUUAAGCACUCCGCCUGGGGAGUACGACCGCAAGGUUGAAACUCAAAUGAAUUGACGG